CCGGGGUAGCCUAGCCUGGCUAUGGCGCCAGACUCAUGAACAGGUGCCCAGAAGUCGCGGGCUCGAAUCCCGCCCCCGG
Molecule: transfer RNA, 79 nt
Filed under: Candidatus Bathyarchaeota archaeon
Lineage: Archaea; Thermoproteati; Candidatus Bathyarchaeota
Description: tRNA-Met
Rfam family: tRNA
About the family: Transfer RNA (tRNA) molecules are approximately 80 nucleotides in length. Their secondary structure includes four short double-helical elements and three loops (D, anti-codon, and T loops).
Source: RNAcentral